ACCUUCGUGGUGUAGUGGUCAGCACAAUCGGUGCAUAUUCGAGAGGUCAGUGGUUCGAGUCCCGGCGAGGGCA
This 73-nucleotide transfer RNA is filed under the name Stegodyphus mimosarum. It matches the Rfam family "tRNA". Rfam says of the family: Transfer RNA (tRNA) molecules are approximately 80 nucleotides in length. Their secondary structure includes four short double-helical elements and three loops (D, anti-codon, and T loops). Further hydrogen bonds mediate the characteristic L-shaped molecular structure. tRNAs have two regions of fundamental functional importance: the anti-codon, which is responsible for specific mRNA codon recognition, and the 3' end, to which the tRNAs corresponding amino acid is attached (by aminoacyl-tRNA synthetases). tRNAs cope with the degeneracy of the genetic code in two manners: having more than one tRNA (with a specific anti-codon) for a particular amino acid; and 'wobble' base-pairing, i.e. permitting non-standard base-pairing at the 3rd anti-codon position. Lineage: Eukaryota; Metazoa; Arthropoda; Arachnida; Araneae; Eresidae. The record is from Rfam by way of RNAcentral.